This is an RNA transcript of Ostrea edulis (European flat oyster), 2635 nucleotides long. It is a transcript of the gene named DNA-directed RNA polymerases I, II, and III subunit RPABC3-like, with no coding region annotated. The record is from RefSeq and is a predicted model, not a curated record. The transcript is spliced from 5 exons. NCBI's taxonomy places the organism in Eukaryota, Metazoa, Mollusca, Bivalvia, Ostreida, Ostreidae.
GAAAAUCAUAUUUGGUACAGAAAUGACUUAACUUCCUGUAUCCUAAUUAACAUGCAAUAGAUUUUUUUCUUCAGAAUUAGUGACGUUUACAGAAAUAGCAAAAUCGAAAACACUUCACGAAUAAGAUAUAUUGAAACCGGGUAUGAUAGAAAUGAAAAUCUUACACUAAUUAACAGUAAAGCAGCGCCGAUAAACGUGAAACAUUAUAUAAGCCAAAUUUGGUAAUGGCGGGGGUGUUGUUCGAAGAUAUUUUCGAUGUGAAGGAUAUUGAUCCAGAAGGCAAGAAGUUUGAUCGAGUGUCCAGACUUUUUUGUGAGUCUGAGUCCUUCAAAAUGGACUUGAUCCUAGAUAUCAAUACACAGAUGUACCCUGUUGAUUUGGGUGACAAAUUCCGUAUGGUUUUAGCCAAGACACUGAGGGAAGAUGGAACCCCAGAUGAUGGUGAAUAUAACCCUACAGACACUGGUCCCUCCAGAGCAGACAGUUUUGAGUACGUAAUGCAUGGGAAAGUAUACCGCAUUGAGGGGGAUGACACUGGACCGGACUCCAGUCGACUGUAAGUGGUGGCACAGUGUGUUGUGUGUGGUUUCUUUUCCUAUCUCUUGGUGCUUUUAAGGAAAACUUAGUACGUGUUAAAUACAGAACACCUGGAAGAUUGCCAUAGGCUUAACCUGUGAUGCAGAUUUUGACAGUAUUUUUCACGUCGCUAUAGUUUUUCUUUUUGUAGAAUACCCGUAGAAUUUUCUGUCUUUAGUUUGCUUCUUACAUGUAAAUUGUCAGCAUGUGCACAGAUAAAUAAUUCUAAUGGUAUGUGUGAGUGUGUGUACUUGAAUGCAUGCAAUUCCGGGUAAGUCAGUACUCGGUACAUGUAGUUACUAGGAUGUGUGCUACUAACAUGUUGCCUUGAGUUUUACACAUACUGAAACACAGAACUUGUACUUGUAUUGCAGAAAACAGAUUUUGGGAAAUGUGUAGCAAUAGAGUUCAAACAAAAGAUAACAUAAAAUGAAAGUUUUUCAUGCUGUGAACAAACAGAAAGAAAAGUCUCCAUGGUAAUUCAUUGCAUGCAACAACCUGCAAUUGAGAUUCUUGCUAAAUUUUUUGCUGCAAGACUGUACUUGUAUGUGGUACUUUAAUAAAUAUUGACCCAGUAAGUUCAGAGGUCGAUUUGGUGUAAUGAAAGAAUGUUGAAUCUUUUAAACACAGUUUAGAAUAACUGAAUUAAAAGUCUUGUUAUUGUAGUGAUGAAAUCACAAGUAGCUUUAAAUGUGGGAAUUACGAAAUUUUGCAUUAUAGAAAUUUUUACGUGUGGUUUAGAAGAGUGGAUAUACAUAUUUAAAGAGAAUCUAUAAAUAUGCAUGCAUGGUUUGUAAAAGGACCUGUUCCAAUAGAAAGAAAAAAUCGAUUUGUAAAGCCUGUUAAACAAUUGAUUGGAUUGAACUGCCAAGUCAGGACUUGAAUGAACACUUUGUGGGAAAUACGUACUUUAACGCAUGCUCAAAUUGCUGGCAGAUAUCGAACGCUAAAUGGGGGCAUACCAUCGCCACCAACCUUAGAGAUUUAUUUCUUCCUUUAGCUAUUCAUUUUGGACUUUCUCAUUGCUAAGUUUAUUCAUAGUCUGUUAGCAAAUUUAGGAUAUAGACAGUAUUCAUACAUGAACACACAACUGUUGAACAGGUAGAUAAGGACCCACAUUCACCGUAGUGUCCAACAUGUUCUAUGAAGUAUGCACACUGUCUUUAUCUUGUGAUGGUUCAGAAUUGAAAGGUAAGCAAGUAUGUGGGGAGUAUAACCCGGGUUAAAGUGAACCUAGAAAGGAAUGUGAAGGGAAGUUGUGAUAAAUGUUUUAUGUCCAUGAGGAACUCACACUACACAUGUGCAGUGUAUGUAUCAGGUGUGUCCCUCACACACUGUAGGUAGAAGGUGCCCUUCUUUAUUUAGGAACAAUAAAUUUCUAGAAAAACAUGUCAAAAUUCCUGAAUAUAUUUUUUUUUAAAAAUUCUGAAGUAGACCCUAUUUAUAGAGAGGGAAAACUCUUGACUAAAAAUACACACCAAGGUAACCACAAUACGUAAAGUUCAUUAUGCAAAAUGUACAUAACGUAUGUUCAUUGAAUAUGUUGGCUGGUAAAUAUGUAUUGUUAGGUUGUAAGUAAUAAAUCUUAGCUCUGGACAGUUUCCAUUAUACCUCUUUACCCAACAAAAAGAGGCUCAUGAACUUGGAGCAUAGUUGUACUGUGUUUAUAAAUUGUGCUGAUGUAACCUUUUUACUGUUUUAAGCCACUGAGUGGAUAUUAUGGAUGUGUGCCUUUAUUGAUGUCUAACUGUGGUUAUGGAUCAGUAAUUCAGAUAAGUUUGGCAGUGUGUAAUGUUUUGAAGAUGCUGAGUUUCAAAGUAAAAUGUUUUCGUCAUCAGAAGCCUAGAGAGAUGCUGUGUCUGUUGUGGGGAUUACUUGACAAGUCCAGGGGACGAUGACCUACGGAUGAUCCUGUAUGCAUGAUUGGAAAGAGAAAGUGGGCAGCGUAUGUGUCAUAUGGAGGCCUGCUUAUGAGACUGCAAGGUGAUGCCAACAAUCUACAUGGUUUUGAAGUUGAUUCCUUUGUUUAUCUUCUUAUAAAGAAGCUUGCUUUCUAAAA